RNAcentral lists this small RNA (74 nucleotides) under Salix viminalis (osier). Lineage: Eukaryota; Viridiplantae; Streptophyta; Magnoliopsida; Malpighiales; Salicaceae. The record is from RNAcentral.
GACUCCAUCAAGUUGAAAAUGCAUUCUAGCAUUAUGAUGAUGCAUGCAAGGAUAUUUACCAGAACUGGGGGGGG